Molecule: ribosomal RNA, 124 nt
Filed under: Pseudomonas asiatica
Lineage: Bacteria; Pseudomonadati; Pseudomonadota; Gammaproteobacteria; Pseudomonadales; Pseudomonadaceae
Description: partial 16S ribosomal RNA
Rfam family: Bacterial small subunit ribosomal RNA
Source: RNAcentral
GAACUGAAGAGUUUGAUCAUGGCUCAGAUUGAACGCUGGCGGCAGGCCUAACACAUGCAAGUCGAGCGGAUGACGGGAGCUUGCUCCUUGAUUCAGCGGCGGACGGGUGAGUAAUGCCUAGGAA